RNAcentral lists this non-coding RNA (102 nucleotides) under unclassified sequences. RNAcentral's name for it is "preQ1-III sequence". It matches the Rfam family "PreQ1-III (pre queuosine) riboswitch aptamer". The record is from RNAcentral.
GAGCAACUUAGGAUUUUAGGCUCCCCGGCGCAUCUCGAACUAUGCCGGGCCAAACCCACGGGGGCUGGCGGUCCCCGUGCGGUUAAAAUCAAACCGCUGGAG